GACGUAGGGUGCGAGCGUUGUCCGGAUUUAUUGGGCGUAAAGAGCUCGUAGGCGGCUCGUCGCGUCGACCGUGAAAACCCGCGGCUUAACUGCGGGCUUGCGGUUGAUACGGGCGGGCUAGAGUUCGGUAGGGGAGACUGGAAUUCCUGGUGUAGCGGUGAAAUGCGCAGAUAUCAGGAGGAACACCGGUGGCGAAGGCGGGUCUCUGGGCCGAUACUGACGCUGAAACACGAAAGCGUGGGUCGCGAAUGGG
RNAcentral lists this ribosomal RNA (253 nucleotides) under uncultured bacterium. Its description in RNAcentral is "partial 16S ribosomal RNA". It matches the Rfam family "Bacterial small subunit ribosomal RNA", at positions 524 to 776 of the family's 1533-position model. The record is from RNAcentral.